Molecule: ribosomal RNA, 467 nt
Filed under: uncultured bacterium
Lineage: Bacteria
Description: partial 16S ribosomal RNA
Rfam family: Bacterial small subunit ribosomal RNA
Source: RNAcentral
GACGAACGCUGGCGGCGUGCUUAACACAUGCAAGUCGAACGGAAAGGCCUCUUUCGGGGGGUACUCGAGUGGCGAACGGGUGAGUAACACGUGAGUAACCUGCCCUUGACUUUGGGAUAACUUCAGGAAACUGGGGCUAAUACCGGAUAGGAGCUCCUGCUGCAUGGUGGGGGUUGGAAAGUUUCGGCGGUUGGGGAUGGACUCGCGGCUUAUCAGCUUGUUGGUGGGGUAGUGGCUUACCAAGGCUUUGACGGGUAGCCGGCCUGAGAGGGUGACCGGCCACAUUGGGACUGAGAUACGGCCCAGGCUCCUACGGGGGGCAGCAGUGGGGAAUAUUGCACAAUGGGUGGAAGCCUGAUGCAGCAACGCCGUGUGCGGGAUGACGGCCUUCGGGUUGUAAACCGCUUUCGCUCAUGACGAAGCUUUGUGUGACGGUAGUGGGUAAAGAAGCACCGGCUAACUACGUG